CUGGAGUCGUUAAAACAGACUUUAGAAAGACCGCUGGGUAUAUUCCACAAGACGUGGUAGAGGAUAUUCCUGGAGUCACAGCUGAAGAAGUGGCAGAUUCUGUAAUUUAUGUCUUGGGAACACCACCAACUGUUUUGAUAAGGGAAUUAACGCUAACUGCAGUGGGAGAAAUUGUGUAAAAAUGUACUUUGUAAUACUGCUAACAAAUUAAAUAUUAUUUGUGUAUUUGUUUCCCAUAA
Molecule: long non-coding RNA, 239 nt
Organism: Agrilus planipennis (emerald ash borer)
Lineage: Eukaryota; Metazoa; Arthropoda; Insecta; Coleoptera; Buprestidae
Exons: 2
Source: RefSeq, a predicted model, not a curated record